RNAcentral lists this ribosomal RNA (433 nucleotides) under uncultured bacterium. RNAcentral describes it as "bacterial SSU rRNA". It matches the Rfam family "Bacterial small subunit ribosomal RNA", at positions 29 to 506 of the family's 1533-position model. The record is from RNAcentral.
ACGAACGCUGGCGGCACGCCUAACACAUGCAAGUCGAACGCUCGUGGCAACACGGGAGUGGCGGACGGGUGAGUAACGCGUGGGAACCUGCCCAGGGGUGCGGGACAACUUCGGGAAACCGGAGCUAAUACCGCAUGAUGCCGAGAGGCUAAAGAUUUAUCGCCUUUGGAGGGGCCCGCGUCGGAUUAGGUAGUUGGUGGGGUAACGGCCUACCAAGCCUUCGAUCCGUAGCUGGUCUGAGAGGAUGGCCAGCCACACUGGGACUGAGACACGGCCCAGACUCCUACGGGAGGCAGCAGUGGGGAAUCUUGGACAAUGGGGGCAACCCUGAUCCAGCGAUGCCGCGUGGGUGAUGAAGGCCUUCGGGUUGUAAAGCCCUUUCGGCGGGGACGAUAGUGACGGUACCCGCAGAAGAAGCCUCGGCUAACUCCGU